Molecule: ribosomal RNA, 248 nt
Filed under: uncultured bacterium
Lineage: Bacteria
Description: partial 16S ribosomal RNA
Rfam family: Bacterial small subunit ribosomal RNA
Source: RNAcentral
AUACGGAGGGUGGCGAGCGUUGUUCGGAAUUAUUGGGCGUAAAGCGCGUGUAGGCGGUUUGUUAAGUCUGAUGUGAAAGCCCCGGGCUCAACCUGGGAAGUGCACUGGAUACUGGCAGACUUGAAUACGGGAGAGGGCAGUGGAAUUCCUGGUGUAGGAGUGAAAUCCGUAGAUAUCAGGAGGAACACCGGUGGCGAAGGCGGCUGCCUGGACCGAUAUUGACGCUGAGACGCGAAAGCGUGGGUAGC